This 743-nucleotide ribosomal RNA is filed under the name Beameria venosa. RNAcentral's name for it is "SSU rRNA". It matches the Rfam family "Eukaryotic small subunit ribosomal RNA", at positions 978 to 1738 of the family's 1831-position model. Lineage: Eukaryota; Metazoa; Arthropoda; Insecta; Hemiptera; Cicadidae. The record is from RNAcentral.
UUUCCGUUAAUCAAGAACGAAAGUUAGAGGUUCRAAGGCGAUCAGAUACCGCCCUAGUUCUAACCAUAAACGAUGCCAGCCAGCGAUCCGCCGAAGUUCCUCCGAUGACUCGGCGGGCAGCUUCCGGGAAACCAAAGCUUUUGGGUUCCGGGGGAAGUAUGGUUGCAAAGCUGAAACUUAAAGGAAUUGACGGAAGGGCACCACCAGGAGUGGAGCCUGCGGCUUAAUUUGACUCAACACGGGAAACCUCACCAGGCCCGGACACCGGAAGGAUUGACAGAUUGAGAGCUCUUUCUUGAUUCGGUGGGUGGUGGUGCAUGGCCGUUCUUAGUUGGUGGAGCGAUUUGUCUGGUUAAUUCCGGUAACGAACGAGACUCUAGCCUGCUAAAUAGACGAUUUCCGGUAUCCACAAUAGUGCUACCGGCGAAAUCAAUAUCUUCUUAGAGGGACAGGCGGCUUUCAGCCGCACGAAACUGAGCAAUAACAGGUCUGUGAUGCCCUUAGAUGUCCUGGGCCGCACGCGCGCUACACUGAAGGAAUCAGCGUGUACACCCUGGCCGAAAGGCUCGGGCAACCCGUUGAACCUCCUUCGUGCUAGGGAUUGGGGCUUGCAAUUGUUCCCCAUGAACGAGGAAUUCCCAGUAAGCGCGAGUCAUAAGCUCGCGUUGAUUACGUCCCUGCCCUUUGUACACACCGCCCGUCGCUACUACCGAUUGAAUGAUUUAGUGAGGUCUUCGGACUGG